Molecule: unclassified non-coding RNA, 256 nt
Filed under: Hevea brasiliensis (rubber tree)
Lineage: Eukaryota; Viridiplantae; Streptophyta; Magnoliopsida; Malpighiales; Euphorbiaceae
Source: RNAcentral
GAACUUGUUACUCAAGCUAUUGAAACUUACAAGCAACAAUUAUCUGGUACAACAACAGAAUACAACCUUAAUGCACAAUCUACUGAAUGUUCUGAUGAUGAACAUACAUCUAGUGAUGUUCCUAUUUUGGAAGAAUUUAUUCCAUUAAAAUCCACAUUUUCUCAUGAAGAUGAAGAUGAAGAUGAGAAUGAUGAAGAAAAUCAAUCUCAUAAAUCAAAAUCUUUUAAUAAUAACAAUAAUAAUUCUACUAGUUCUA